AAUCAACGCUGGCGGCGUGCCUAACACAUGCAAGUCGAACGCGGUUACCCCGCAAGGGGUAACUGAGUGGCGAACGGGUGAGUAACACGUGGGUGACCUACCUUCGAAUGGGGGAUAACGUCCCGAAAGGGACGCUAAUACCGCAUAACAUCCUGCUUUUGAACAGGUGGAGAUCAAAGCCGGGGAUCGCAAGACCUGGCGUUUGAAGAGGGGCCCGCGUCCGAUUAGCUAGUUGGUGAGGAACGGCUCACCAAGGCAACGAUCGGUAGCCGGCCUGAGAGGGCGGACGGCCACACUGGGACUGAGACACGGGCCAGACUCCUACGGGAGGCAGCAGUGGGGAAUUUUGGGCAAUGGGCGAAAGCCUGACCCAGCAACGCCGCGUGAGGGAGGAAAUCCUUCGGGAUGUAAACCUCACAAGCAAGGGAAGAGAGCUGCGGGCUGAAUAAUCCCGCAGUGCGACGGUACCUUGCGUAAGCCACGGCUAACUACGU
Molecule: ribosomal RNA, 494 nt
Filed under: uncultured bacterium
Lineage: Bacteria
Description: bacterial SSU rRNA
Rfam family: Bacterial small subunit ribosomal RNA
Source: RNAcentral